RNAcentral lists this ribosomal RNA (1559 nucleotides) under Saccopteryx leptura (lesser sac-winged bat). Its description in RNAcentral is "16S ribosomal RNA". It matches the Rfam family "Bacterial large subunit ribosomal RNA". The record is from RNAcentral. Lineage: Eukaryota; Metazoa; Chordata; Mammalia; Chiroptera; Emballonuridae.
GAACUAGUUCUAGCUCGAACCCGCAAAAUUCAACUAACACCCACAGUUAAAACAAAACAUUUACACAAAUAAAAGUAUAGGAGAUAGAAAUUAUAUUCGACGCUAUAGAAAAAGUACCGCAAGGGAACCACAACUCAAAAGUAGAAAAAAGCAAAGCUUACCCCUUUUACCUUUUGCAUAAUGAUUUAACUAGAAAAAAUUUAGCAAAGAGAACUGAAGUUAAAUACCCCGAAACCAGACGAGCUAUCUAAAGACAGCCCAAUGGGGCAAACUCAUCUAUGUGGCAAAAUAGUGAGAAGAUCUUUAGAUAGAGGCGACAAACCAACCGAGCCUGGUGAUAGCUGGUUGUCCAGUUAACGAAUUUUAGUUCAAGUAUAAAUCUACUAAAAAUAUCCAAUAAAUUUAAUGUAGAUUUAUAUUAUAGCCCAAGGGGGUACAGCCCAUUGGGCCUAGGAUACAACCUUUAUUAGAGAGUAAUUAUUUAGUGUACCAUAGUUGGCCUAAAAGCAGCCAUCCAUUAAGAAAGCGUUCAAGCUCAACAACUCCCUCAUCUUAAUAACAAACAUAUCUAACAACUCCUAAUACGAAACUGGACUAUUCUAUUAUUAAAUAGAAGCAAUACUGUUAAUAUGAGUAACAAGAAUAUUUUCUCCCAGCACAAGUGUAUAUCAGAACGAAUGCUUCACUGAUAGUUAACAAACCAUUAAGCUCAUGCUAAAAAUAAAACCCUUAUAUAAAAAUCUGUUAACCCAACACAGGCGUGCACCCAAGGGAAAGAUUAAAAGAAGUAAAAGGAACUCGGCAAACAUGAACCCCGCCUGUUUACCAAAAACAUCACCUCUAGCCUUACCAGUAUUAGAGGCACUGCCUGCCCAGUGACAUAAGUUUAACGGCCGCGGUAUCCUGACCGUGCAAAGGUAGCAUAAUCACUUGUUCCCUAAAUAGGGACUCGUAUGAAUGGCCACACGAGGGUUCAACUGUCUCUUACUUCUAAUCAGUGAAAUUGACCUCCCCGUGAAGAGGCAGGGAUAAUAUAAUAAGACGAGAAGACCCUAUGGAGCUUUAAUUAACUAACCUAAAGAAAAUAAAUACCAAUCGACACGAUUUAACAUAACUCUGCCUAGGUUAGCAAUUUGGGUUGGGGUGACCUCGGAAUAAAACAUAACUUCCGAGUGAUUAAUAUUUAGACCUACAAGUCAAAAUAACAUCAUCAUUUAUUGAUCCAAAAAAAUUGAUCAACGGACCAAGUUACCCUAGGGAUAACAGCGCAAUCCUAUUCAAGAGUCCAUAUCGACAAUAGGGUUUACGACCUCGAUGUUGGAUCAGGACAUCCUAGUGGUGCAGCCGCUACUAAGGGUUCGUUUGUUCAACGAUUAAUAGUCCUACGUGAUCUGAGUUCAGACCGGAGUAAUCCAGGUCGGUUUCUAUCUAUUCUAGGCCUCCCCCAGUACGAAAGGACAAGAGAGGCAGGGCCCACUUCAUUUACGCGCCCUCAAGCUAACAGAUACUGUAAUAUUAAUCUGGCAACGCAUAUAGUCAAUAACCCAAGACCAGGGUUC